This 262-nucleotide long non-coding RNA is filed under the name Medicago truncatula (barrel medic). RNAcentral describes it as "long non-coding RNA (MTRU_LNC000448)". The record is from RNAcentral. Lineage: Eukaryota; Viridiplantae; Streptophyta; Magnoliopsida; Fabales; Fabaceae.
CUAUUAACCCUAUUUGUUUUUAAUCACUUUUUAGAGCUUUGGUACUUCGAAUUGCUUGUUAUUUUAUUUCAGGAACAAAUAUGGUGAAAUUAAGUCUUGGAGCAAAAGAAGAGAUUCAGAAGCAUGGUUAAGGAAAUAAAGGAUCCAAACAUCAUCCAUGGCUGAUUGAGGAACAAAAUAUGAAGAUCCUUUACAAAUAUAUCGCGCACGGUCGUGCCUGUAAAUGCAUUGACUGAGCGCCUUUGCAUUCAGAAUGUGCUUU